Molecule: ribosomal RNA, 477 nt
Filed under: uncultured bacterium
Lineage: Bacteria
Description: partial 16S ribosomal RNA
Rfam family: Bacterial small subunit ribosomal RNA
Source: RNAcentral
GAUUAACGCUGGCGGCGUGCAUAACACAUGCAAGUCGAACGAUGAAACUUUAAUGAACCCUUCGGGGAGAAUUAAAGCGGAUUAGUGGCGAACGGGUGAGUAACGCGUGAGUAACCUGCCUUACACAAGGGGAUAGCCUUUGGAAACGAAGAAUAAUACCCUAUAAAACCAUAAAAGCACAUGCAAUUAUGGUCAAAGUGAUAGCGGUGUAAGAUGGACUUGCGUCUGAUUAGCUAGUUGGUGAGAUAAAAGCCCACCAAGGCAACGAUCAGUAGCCGGCUUGAGAGAGUGUACGGCCACAUUGGGACUGAGACACGGCCCAGACUCCUGCGGGAGGCAGCAGUGGGGAAUUUUGCACAAUGGGGGAAACCCUGAUGCAGCGACGCCGCGUGAUUUAGAAGGCCUUCGGGUUGUAAAAAUCUUUUGUAUAGGAAGAAAAUGACAGUACUAUACGAAUAAGGUCCGGCUAAUUACGUG